This is a non-coding RNA of Hebeloma cylindrosporum, 87 nucleotides long. The record is from the annotation of a GenBank genome assembly. NCBI's taxonomy places the organism in Eukaryota, Fungi, Basidiomycota, Agaricomycetes, Agaricales, Hymenogastraceae.
GGCCUGGUGGUCUAGUCGCAUGAUUCCUCCUUUGGGCACAGAGUGUUUGAUUGGAGGAGGUCCUGGAUUCAAUUCCCGGUCAGGCCC